Molecule: small RNA, 107 nt
Filed under: Marmota monax (woodchuck)
Lineage: Eukaryota; Metazoa; Chordata; Mammalia; Rodentia; Sciuridae
Source: RNAcentral
GCUGGGUGUGGUGGCGCAUUCCUGUAAUCCCAACAGUUUGGGAGGCUUAGGCAGGAGGAUUUCAAGUUCAAAGCCAGCCUCAGCAAAAACGAGAGACUCUGACUAAA